Molecule: ribosomal RNA, 434 nt
Filed under: uncultured bacterium
Lineage: Bacteria
Description: bacterial SSU rRNA
Rfam family: Bacterial small subunit ribosomal RNA
Source: RNAcentral
UAGUGGCGAACGGGUGAGUAACGCGUAGACAACCUGCCUUCUAGAUGGGGACAACACUGCGAAAGUGGUGCUAAUACCGAAUGUUGUAUUGGAUCCGCAUGGAUUUGAUACUAAAGGUGGCCUCUAUAUAUAAGCUAUCACUAGAAGAUGGGUCUGCGUCUGAUUAGCUAGUUGGUGAGGUAAUGGCUCACCAAGGCGAUGAUCAGUAGCCGGUCUGAGAGGAUGAACGGCCACACUGGGACUGAGACACGGCCCAGACUCCUACGGGAGGCAGCAGUGGGGAAUCUUCCGCAAUGGACGAAAGUCUGACGGAGCAACGCCGCGUGAGUGAAGAAGGUUUUCGGAUCGUAAAGCUCUGUCUUUGAGGACGAAUGUGUUUAAUGUGAAUAAUGUUAAAUAAUGACGGUACUCGAGGAGGAAGCCACGGCUAACGA